RNAcentral lists this ribosomal RNA (257 nucleotides) under uncultured bacterium. RNAcentral's name for it is "partial 16S ribosomal RNA". It matches the Rfam family "Bacterial small subunit ribosomal RNA", at positions 524 to 777 of the family's 1533-position model. The record is from RNAcentral.
GACGAACCGUGCGAACGUUAUUCGGAAUCACUGGGCUUAAAGCGCGUGUAGGCGGAUGGGUGCGUCGGCUUCUGAAAGCCCCCGGCUCAACCGGGGAAGUGGGGCCGAAACGACCCGUCUGGAGGGACGUAGGGGGAUCUGGAACUUCCGGUGGAGCGGUGAAAUGCGUUGAGAUCGGAAGGAACGCCCGUGGCGAAAGCGAGAUCCUGGACGUCUUCUGACGCUGAGACGCGAAAAGCUAGGGGGAGCAAACGGGG